GCAAGCCUGAUCCAGCCAUGCCGCGUGAGUGAAGAAGGCCUUCGGGUUGUAAAGCUCUUUCGGCCGGGAAGAAAUCGCACUCUCUAACAUAGGGUGUGGAUGACGGUACCGGACUAAGAAGCACCGGCUAACUACGUGCCAGCAGCCGCGGUAAUACGUAGGGUGCGAGCGUUAAUCGGAAUUACUGGGCGUAAAGCGUGCGCAGGCGGUUUUGUAAGACAGAUGUGAAAUCCCCGGGCUUAACCUGGGAACUGCGUUUGUGACUGCAAGGCUAGAGUACGGCAGAGGGGGGUGGAAUUCCACGUGUAGCAGUGAAAUGCGUAGAGAUGUGGAGGAACACCGAUGGCGAAGGCAACCCCCUGGGCCUGUACUGACGCUCAUGCACGAAAGCGUGGGGAGCAAACAGGAUUAGAUACCCUGGUAGUCCACGCCCUAAACGAUGUCGACUAGUCGUUCGGAGCAGCAAUGCACUGAGUGACGCAGCUAACGCGUGAAGUCGACC
Molecule: ribosomal RNA, 502 nt
Filed under: uncultured Thauera sp.
Lineage: Bacteria; Pseudomonadati; Pseudomonadota; Betaproteobacteria; Rhodocyclales; Zoogloeaceae
Description: bacterial SSU rRNA
Rfam family: Bacterial small subunit ribosomal RNA
Source: RNAcentral